Molecule: non-coding RNA, 73 nt
Organism: Biscogniauxia marginata
Lineage: Eukaryota; Fungi; Ascomycota; Sordariomycetes; Xylariales; Xylariaceae
Source: the annotation of a GenBank genome assembly
GGUCCGAUGGUGUAGUGGUUAUCACAUGAGUUUAACACACUCAAGGUCCCCGGUUCGAGACCGGGUCGGAUCA